This 301-nucleotide ribosomal RNA is filed under the name uncultured bacterium. RNAcentral's name for it is "partial 16S ribosomal RNA". It matches the Rfam family "Bacterial small subunit ribosomal RNA", at positions 512 to 808 of the family's 1533-position model. The record is from RNAcentral.
CAGUCGCCAGGUAACACGUAGGGUGCGAGCGUUAAUCGGAAUUACUGGGCGUAAAGCGUGCGCAGGCGGUUGUGUAAGACAGGUGUGAAAUCCCCGGGCUUAACCUGGGAACUGCGCUUGUGACUGCACAGCUAGAGUAUGGCAGAGGGGGGUGGAAUUCCACGUGUAGCAGUGAAAUGCGUAGAGAUGUGGAGGAACACCGAUGGCGAAGGCAGCCCCCUGGGCCAAUACUGACGCUCAUGCACGAAAGCGUGGGGAGCAAACAGGAUUAGAUACCCCUGUAGUCCCUGUCUCUUAUACC